GAUGAACGCUGGCGGCGUGCCUAAUACAUGCAAGUCGAGCGAACAGACGAGGAGAUUGCUCCUCUGACGUUAGCGGCGGACGGGUGAGUAACACGUGGAUAACCUACCUAUAAGACUGGGAUAACUUCGGGAAACCGGAGCUAAUACCGGAUAAUAUAUUGAACCGCAUGGUUCAAUAGUGAAAGACGGUUUUGCUGUCACUUAUAGAUGGAUCCGCGCCGCAUUAGCUAGUUGGUAAGGUAACGGCUUACCAAGGCGACGAUGCGUAGCCGACCUGAGAGGGUGAUCGGCCACACUGGAACUGAGACACGGUCCAGACUCCUACGGGAGGCAGCAGUAGGGAAUCUUCCGCAAUGGGCGAAAGCCUGACGGAGCAACGCCGCGUGAGUGAUGAAGGUCUUCGGAUCGUAAAACUCUGUUAUUAGGGAAGAACAAAUGUGUAAGUAACUAUGCACGUCUUGACGGUACCUAAUCAGAAAGCCACGGCUAACUACGUG
RNAcentral lists this ribosomal RNA (497 nucleotides) under uncultured bacterium. RNAcentral describes it as "partial 16S ribosomal RNA". It matches the Rfam family "Bacterial small subunit ribosomal RNA", at positions 28 to 507 of the family's 1533-position model. The record is from RNAcentral.